UCACAACAAAAACUAAGAGAAACACAUAAAGAAAAAUGUAGGCAAGGGGAGAGAAGUCUUAGCUCCACUUAAAGAUCAAGAAAUCUUACAACACAUAAAGAAGGUUUUAGGCAAGGAGAAAUCACAAAGUUCUUGUGAAAAUCAAGAACUCAUCUUCCAUAUCAAAACCGUUCACGAAGAUUUCCGCAACAAUGAAUGGAGGUACUCUGUAAUCUCUCUUAUAGUUAUAUUAUGUGAUUAGUCUAGAUGUUAAAGAUCUUAGGGUUCAUGUAAAAUCAAGUUUACAUAUGGUAUCAGAGCUAAUGGUUAUAAACAUCUAGCCAAUCUGAAAAGUAUAAUAGAUUUAUGAUUUAUAGAAUUAAAGUAGAUCUAUACUUAAGUAAUAAUAAAAUUAGAUCUAAAAUAAUGUUUAAGUUUCGGUAUAAAACCGAUGAGAGUUUUCGGAAAUAUUUAAUCAUAUAUUUUAUGUAUGUAUUCGAUUUCGAUCUCUGAAAUGAUAAUUAAUCAAUGCAUAAAUAUUUCUAUACAGAAAUCGUAUAGACAUUAAAUUAAGUAAUUUAUGCAUAAUUUUAUAAAACAAUAUUUUCAUAUAAAGAGCAAAUUUAGGAUAAAGAUAUCACCACAAUGACUUUAUUCUAAAAUGAUUUGCGAAAUGAAAAUUAUUGUUCAAAUAAGUAUUUGAUAUUUUGAGUAAUAAGUAGUUACCCACAGGUAGACUAUAUACACAAAAUAUGAUCAAAUAACUUAUAGAGUGUUUUGAUAUAUCACUCAUAAAAUAUCCACAGAUUACUUAAUCUGAGUAAUUCGAUACAUCACUCAUAAAUGUUUUCGAAUACUAUGAUUAUUGAUGAAAAUAUGGCUGCUACCCACAGGAGCACCAUAAUUUCUUGGCAUAAGUAUUCAAUAAAUAUAUGUGUUGAUUAUGUUUAAAAGCCUAAUUUAAACUUGUGUAUCUCAAAACUAUAAAAUUUUGAAAGAUUGUCAUAUAAAGUCUCGUCUAUUCCAGUCCUAACCGGAACCGACUUCUCAGAAUGAAAAGAGAAAGUUGAGUUCACAUAUAUAUUAAGAGUACUAUACUUGAAUUUGACACUCCGCAAUAAUGAGUCAAAUUCACUAAUGGUGUAUAGUACUGAGGACGAAAAUAAUUUCCAUAAAGCUUGGUUGAAAUUGAAUAGACUGAGAAUUACGAUCUUAAGAUGACAAUAAUUAAAAACAUUAAAACUUUCCUUAUGACAGCUGAAAUAAGCUAAAAAAAUAUCUUAAAUAUAUAAGAGACGGUUUAAGAUUGCAACCAAAUCCCUAGUUGGAAAACUUAUGGCAAAUCUUAGAACCAUAAAAGAAUAAUGACAUAAGGUCUAUGCAUGAAUAUUGCAUUGAAAUGGCCUAUCUUUCAGCUUGUCCAUAAAGGUAUUAAAGUUGUCUAUUAUGUUCAAGGAGCUUGACCUAAGUAAGUCAUAAAAGACCACCACCCAUAAUGGAUAUCAAGUAAAUGAGAAGAAAAAGGCAAAGAAAGAUGACAGAGGAAAAAGUCUGAAAUCUUUCAAAAAGAUUGCGAUAAAAGAAGAAAAUAGUUCGGAAAAAAAACGUAACCUUUUAAGUUCCAUAAAGGUUUUCGAAUCUAUUCUUAUAAUAUUUCUUCUAAAACAUGGUGGUGGAUAAUGGUUCUAAUGUACAUGUAAUUAAUUCUGUGCAUGAUUUAUUUACGAUCAAAAACCGUAAUUUCAAGUGUACACUAAGUACUUAUGGGAAUUAAAGCGAAGUGAUAGUUGAAGCUAUUGGCACUCCUCAUUAUGAAUAUUGGAUUUUGUUUGGAUUCUUUCCAAACAUUAUAUGUUCCAUAUAUUUCCCAUAAGGUUUAGUUUUAUUAAGAAAACUUGAUGACUGGGUUUUUUAAAUCAACUUAAAGAGAUGGAUGUUUUAAUUUGUUCUUGAACCCUAAUUGAUUUGAUUCAAGAAUAUUAAUUGAUGGCCGAUAUUAGGUAACACUGGCCGAUCAAUUUUUUAAAACAUAUCUAGUUUUGCACAUUAAAGGAAAAUUAAAGUAUAUAAAACAUGUACUAAUGAUCAGUAUUUCUUGUGGCAUAAAAUGUGUAUGUAUUGCAUUGGGGAUAAGAAAAUAAACACACUAAGGAAUGAGUCAAAAGAAAUGUAAAGCUUCUUGAGAUUGUACAUACAAAUAUUUGUAGACCCUUUGACGUUUUAUCUUUUGGAGAUGAAAAGUAUUCAAUUAUCUUUAUUGAUGAUUAUUCACAUUAUUGUUAUGUAUAUCUAUUGCAUGAAAGUCUCAAUUUUGGAUACAUUACAAGUAUUCAAAAUUAAAGUAGAAAAGCAUUAAGAUAUAAAAGUGAAAAUCAUAAGGUUAUUUAAAAGUAAUGAAUUUAUGGCAAGUAUGAAGAAAAUAGACAAUGUCUCAGACGUUUUGCCAAAUCUCUCCAAAAAUUAAGAAUUAUAUCAGUACACAGCCUGGUUCUCCAUGUCAUAUUGGUGUAGCUGAAAGGCAUGACCGUACUUUUAUGUAAAUGGUUUAAUUUAUGCAAAUUCACUUAUAUCAUUAUGGAUAGAUGCAUUAUGUAUUGCAGUAUAUUUUUUGAAUAAGGUUACCAACAAAGCAGUUCUCAAGACUCCUUUUGAACUGCAUAAAAGCUGCUAACCUAGUAUGAGACAUCUCAAAGUAUGACUAUGUCCAAUUAAGCAAGAAUAUAUAAUCCACAUGAAAAUAAAUUAGAUUUCAGAACGAUCAGUGGUUUUAUUAUAGGUUAUCCUGAGAAAUCUAAAGAAUAUAAGUUAAAUUGUCCAAACCAUAGUACGUGAUAAUAGAAACCAAUAAUGUCAGAUUUUAUAAGAAUGGCAGCAUUAGUGGGAGUCAUAAAGUUAAAGAAGUGGUCAUUCAAGAAAUUAGGGUAAGUAACAUGUUAUCCUAAAUUAUGAAUGGUGGAAAUUCUCAUGUUGUUGUAAGUUUAACAAUGAGUAAAACACAAUGAAUGACCAUAUACUCCAUGAUGAAAAGUUACAAAUAAUGAUUAAGUACAUGAUGUUAAAGAGGAACACACAUUAAAAAAAUCUACUCAUAUGAGUAGAUUUGCUAUUUCCAAUAGGUACUUUAUCAAGUAGAAUCUGUAGAACUGAAUAUUAAAGAUUUGGUUUCUUAUUCAGAGCCAUAAACGAUGUUAAUUCUGAUAAAUGAAUUGAAAUGGUUCCCAAAAAAAAGAUUUUGUUUUUAAAAACAGAGCAAGAGACUGUUUCAAAAUCAAUAAACUCAAAAGAUGUAAAGACAGAACCAAUGACGUUUCUGACACAUGUGAAACUAAGUAAGAGUUUGAAACUUGGAUUGUUAUGUAAGAAAUAUUAUAUAUAUGAAUGUAUAUGAAUAAAUAUUUCUUUCUCAUGAUGUGGUCUUAUGUUAAUCUAUUUCUUAUUGAGAAGGUUAACCUUAAGCAUACUUGGUAACCAAUAAAAUGGUAAAUAAUGGAGCUUAUUUCCUAAUGUUUUAACUAAAGUAUAAGCAGCAAAUGUUCUAGAAGAGAAGAGUGACUUGAAGGACAAGUCUAAUGGAAGAUGCUUAAGAGAACAAGUUCAAUGUAUGAACCUAAUGUUCUAGAACACUUCACACUUGUCUUAUCCUAAUGAAAUGAGUCACCUUAAGCAAAACAUUUGUCACUUACUCAACUUUGAUGGAUGGUUGAGAUUAAAGGAUAAACUUGCCAAGAAAGUAAGAAAAACUUGGUGAGAAAGUUAUCAAAACUUGAUGAGGAAGCUAGGUCCCUCUCCCCACCUAUAAAUAGAUGUCUUUACUCCAUCUUAAAGCAUCUCAACAAAAACUAAGAGAAACACAUAAAGAAAGGUGUACGCAAGGGGAGAGAAGUCUUAGCUCCACAAAUAUCAAGAAAUCUUUCAACACAUAAAGAAGGUUUUAGGCAAGGAGAAAUCACAAAGUUCUUGUGAAAAUCAAGAACUCAUCUUCCAUAUCAAAACCGUUCACGAAGAUUUCCGCAACAAUGAAUGGAGGUACUCCGUAAUCUAUCUAAUAGUUAUAUUAUUGAUUAGUCUAGAUGUUAAAGAUCUUAGGGUUCAUGUAAAAUCAAGUUUACAUGUUAUAGUGUUUGACAAUAAACUAAAUCUUAGGCUAGAUUUCUGUGAAAACAUAGAGAGAGAGAGAGAUAGAGAGAGAGAGAGAGAGAGAGAGA
Molecule: long non-coding RNA, 4184 nt
Filed under: Brassica napus (rape)
Lineage: Eukaryota; Viridiplantae; Streptophyta; Magnoliopsida; Brassicales; Brassicaceae
Description: long non-coding RNA (BNAP_LNC003095)
Source: RNAcentral